Molecule: microRNA precursor, 124 nt
Organism: Brassica oleracea var. oleracea
Lineage: Eukaryota; Viridiplantae; Streptophyta; Magnoliopsida; Brassicales; Brassicaceae
Rfam family: MIR9563 microRNA precursor family
Source: Rfam
GGAAGUUAAGAAAUAGUUUCUUAACUUUUAAAUAAAAAAAUUAAGAACCGGUUCUUAAAUAAGGAUUUUAAGAAUCGGUUCUUAACUUUUUUAGUUAAAAGUUAAGAACCGAUUCUUAACUUCC